This 427-nucleotide ribosomal RNA is filed under the name uncultured prokaryote. RNAcentral describes it as "bacterial SSU rRNA". It matches the Rfam family "Bacterial small subunit ribosomal RNA", at positions 355 to 774 of the family's 1533-position model. RNAcentral also lists the same sequence under 2 other names. The record is from RNAcentral.
UAGGGAAUAUUGGACAAUGGGCGCAAGCCUGAUCCAGCCAUGCCGCGUGAGUGAAGAAGGCCCUCGGGUUGUAAAGCUCUUUUGUCCGGAAAGAAAAGCGCCGGGUUAAUACCCUGGUGUCCUGACGGUACCGGAAGAAUAAGCACCGGCUAACUUCGUGCCAGCAGCCGCGGUAAUACGAAGGGUGCAAGCGUUACUCGGAAUUACUGGGCGUAAAGCGUGCGUAGGUGGUUCGUUAAGUCCGAUGUGAAAGCCCUGGGCUCAACCUGGGAAUGGCAUUGGAUACUGGCGGGCUAGAGUGCGGUAGAGGGUAGUGGAAUUCCCGGUGUAGCAGUGAAAUGCGUAGAGAUCGGGAGGAACAUCCGUGGCGAAGGCGACUACCUGGACCAGCACUGACACUGAGGCACGAAAGCGUGGGGAGCAAACA